GAGUCAGCUCGGAAAAGUUGUCCAAUUACUUCAGUGGUCCCAAUAUUACACCACCAAAACGAAUGAAAAAAGGGGGCACAAAAGUGAAGGAUCGGGGGAGAAGAGAGAUCUGAGAUACCCAAGCACAGAAUGAUAGCAAAGGAUUGCAGAAACACCAAAGUGCUUCACUAAAAAAGAUGAUGGGAACAAAGAAACCGUCAGAUUAAGCGGAAAAUAGCUAAAAUGAUUGUGAUUCUAAGUACAGAAGGUACUUCUGCAUGCUCAUUUCCUUGAGUAGAAAAUAGCCCAAUUUUCAUAAUGAAAUUUGGAACAGGGGUAAGAUAUCUACCCAUGGUAU
This 337-nucleotide long non-coding RNA is filed under the name Homo sapiens (human). RNAcentral describes it as "HSALNT0040792". The record is from RNAcentral. Lineage: Eukaryota; Metazoa; Chordata; Mammalia; Primates; Hominidae.